AUUGAACGCUGGCGGCAGGCCUAACACAUGCAAGUCGAACGGUAACAGGAAGACUCUUGCUUCUUUGCUGACGAGUGGCGGACGGGUGAGUAAUGGCUGGGAAACUGCCUGAUGGAGGGGGAUAACUACUGGAAACGGUAGCUAAUACCGCAUAACGUCGCAAGACCAAAGAGGGGGACCUUCGGACCUCUUGCCAUCGGAUGUGCCCAGAUGGGAUUAGCUAGUAGGUGGGGUAACGGCUCACCCAGGCGACGAUACCUAGCUGGUCUGGGAGGAUGACCAGCCACACUGGAACUGAGACACGGUACAGACUCCUACGGGAGGCAGCAGUGGGGAAUAUUGCACGAUGGGCGCAAGCCUGAUGCAGCCAUGCCGCGUGUAUGCAGAAGGCCUUCGGGUUGUAAAGUACUUUCAGCGGGGAGGAAGGGAGUAACGUUAAUACCUUCGCUCAUUGACGGUACCCGCAGAAGAAGCACCGGCUAACUCCGUG
RNAcentral lists this ribosomal RNA (490 nucleotides) under uncultured bacterium. Its description in RNAcentral is "partial 16S ribosomal RNA". It matches the Rfam family "Bacterial small subunit ribosomal RNA", at positions 30 to 507 of the family's 1533-position model. The record is from RNAcentral.